AGUUGUUCUUGAUGUGCAAAGUGACCAACGACUUUGGUGGAUCAAGUUGACAUGGAUUAAAGUGUCCUCAGAAGAUUGGAAGGACUUGAAGAUGUUUGGAAAAUGAUGACGUCUCAAGUUGGUUUCUUAAGUUUUAAGCUCAUAGGAUUAAUGCAAAAAGGUAGGGAGAAAUUGCUAUUAAAUAUCAUCAUUUAAUUCAUAUUUUUUUUCCCAAGAGUUUAGAAGUGUUUUAGGUCAUGAUUGUAAUAUUUUAGAAGGCCAAAAUGAAUUUUAUAAGGUUUUUCAAAAAUUCAUACCUUUGCAGCCAGAAGCAAAAAUAACAAGCUAAUUCUGAAAUUAGCAUGCUAAUUUAGCUUCGGGUUUCAGGUGCACUUUUGCACUAAUAGUCAUAAGCAAAAUUAGCAUGCUAAUUUUAGUUCUGUCCAAAAUUGAAUCAGGCAGAAUCAAAAGUAACAAAUUAAUUUUAAAAACUUGAUGGCUUGCCAAUUUUCGAGAGAAACACAAAAAGUAAUGGCUAGUUAUCCAUCAAAUCAUGACCGUUUGAUAUGCUUUUACUUCUAACGGCUAUAUUUUAAAUCAUCGUAUAUAAAUCAUUAUUUGACCCAAUUUUAGAUCAUGAAAGCCGUCAAAAAA
Molecule: unclassified non-coding RNA, 633 nt
Filed under: Hevea brasiliensis (rubber tree)
Lineage: Eukaryota; Viridiplantae; Streptophyta; Magnoliopsida; Malpighiales; Euphorbiaceae
Source: RNAcentral